GACGAACGCUGGCGGCGUGCUUAACACAUGCAAGUCGAACGGAAAGGCCCUGCUUUUGUGGGGUGCUCGAGUGGCGAACGGGUGAGUAACACGUGAGUAACCUGCCCUUGACUUUGGGAUAACUUCAGGAAACUGGGGCUAAUACCGGAUAGGAGCUCCUGCUGCAUGGUGGGGGUUGGAAAGUUUCGGCGGUUGGGGAUGGACUCGCGGCCUAUCAGCUUGUUGGUGUGGUAGUGGCUUACCAAGGCUUUGACGGGUAGCCGGCCUGAGAGGGUGACCGGCCACAUUGGGACUGAGAUACGGCCCAGAAGCCUACGGGAGGCAGCAGUGGGGAAUAUUGCACAAUGGGCGGAAGCCUGAUGCAACAACGCCGCGUGCGGGAUGACGGCCUUCGGGUUGUAAACCGCUUUCGCCUGUGACGAAGCGUGAGUGACGGUAAUGGGUAAAGAAGCACCGGCUAACUACGUG
Molecule: ribosomal RNA, 468 nt
Filed under: uncultured bacterium
Lineage: Bacteria
Description: partial 16S ribosomal RNA
Rfam family: Bacterial small subunit ribosomal RNA
Source: RNAcentral